Molecule: ribosomal RNA, 253 nt
Filed under: uncultured Caryophanaceae bacterium
Lineage: Bacteria; Bacillati; Bacillota; Bacilli; Caryophanales; Caryophanaceae
Description: uncultured Planococcaceae bacterium partial 16S ribosomal RNA
Rfam family: Bacterial small subunit ribosomal RNA
Source: RNAcentral
UACGUAGGUGGCAAGCGUUGUCCGGAUUUAUUGGGCGUAAAGCGCGCGCAGGUGGUUUCUUAAGUCUGAUGUGAAAGCCCCCGGCUCAACCGAGGAAGGUCAUUGGAAACUGGGAGACUUGAGUACAGAAGAGGAUAGUGGAAUUCCAAGUGUAGCGGUGAAAUGCGUAGAGAUUUGGAGGAACACCAGUGGCGAAGGCGGCUAUCUGGUCUGUAACUGACACUGAGGCGCGAAAGCGUGGGGAGCAAACAGG